Gadus macrocephalus (Pacific cod) is the source of this 949-nucleotide long non-coding RNA. RefSeq lists it as uncharacterized. NCBI's taxonomy places the organism in Eukaryota, Metazoa, Chordata, Actinopteri, Gadiformes, Gadidae. The transcript has 2 exons. The record is from RefSeq and is a predicted model, not a curated record.
UUGCAUCUGGUCCACUCCGCACACCAAACUUGACCGCUGUCAAGGAUGGUGGAUUUAUUGCCUGAUUCAUGCCUUUGUUAUCACUCCGUAGUAGUUACAGUAGUCCGGUAACAUAUCAACCCCAGCGUGUCCGGUUGCUAAUCGACGGGACAUGGGUGAUUAUGGGUGACACGGGUGGGUUCAUAUGUUCGCGUAUCGUCUUAACGUCUUAACUUAUCGUCAUAACUUUGCAAGAGUACUACUACUGCUAGUACUACGGCUACGGUUGAUGUGUAUAAGUGACUCAAUAAAUUCCCUUUUCUAUCAAAUAAUUUUUCAGAAAAUUUUUGGGUCUUAAUUUAUGUAUGUGUUGGUCUUAAAAAGUCUUAAAUUUGACUUUAAAAAUGGUGCAAGAACCAUGUAGACAAAGUGAUCAGGGCUGAGGCUUACCAGCAGGGGGGGGCGAGAUACCAGGAGACGGAGGGGGGAAUACAUAAACACCAACCAGUCACUCGUGCUCGCACACACAAACAGCAACACAGGAUGACCAAGGCUAUGGUUGGGUGGCUGAGCAGAUCACUUAAUGAUCCGCCACUAUAGAAUGGCCUACCACAAGAACUAGCACCAAACUCACAGAAUGUAAUUCACAAAAGGAAAUAAGUAAGAAACAAAAUAUAACACAAAUAUACAAACCAGGCCCAAAAGGAUCUUAAACAUGCGUGAUAGCCCUCUGGCUAUCCGCAGCUAUGAAAAGGCCUCCUCCUGCCAGUGGCUUAACAGAAGCAGGGCUCAAACAAACCAUAAACAGAAUCCCCCAAAUUAAACCAAACACUUCCCCAGGACACACACAUACACACACGCACACAGACAUACACUAAUUGCGACACGGACAGGUGGCAAAACACAAGGACAAGACAACAGAUAGCCGGAUAAGUUUAAAAGGAGUGGUCGUUAGCGUCUUCGCCGCUAU